Molecule: long non-coding RNA, 1121 nt
Filed under: Felis catus (domestic cat)
Lineage: Eukaryota; Metazoa; Chordata; Mammalia; Carnivora; Felidae
Description: lncRNA (ENSFCAG00000050631.1)
Source: RNAcentral
CCUCCCUCCCUCCGGGCAAGCCGCCUUGGACGUCUGCCUGCCUGACGCUAGUCAUGGAAAGGGAUCCAGGACCCUUUGGGAGUGGCAUUCUGGUUUUUGUGUGGGUCCGUCAUCGUAAGUGGGUCCCCGUGUUUCUGAGAACAAAAUGGAGGAGCGCAGCCAGGCACGCGGUCAGCACAGGAAGCUGGCGUCUGAGCCCCUCCGUUCGGGAUGGGGUAGCGGCCGGCAGAGCCCCGUGUCUCCUUGGCAGAGGAAUUUCUCUCGAGGAUUGGCGUUUCCCUCAAGGAACCCGUAAGGCGAUAAAGCCAUCUGACCCUUAAGUGGAGGAAAGGACCCCUGGAUGUGUUCAGAGAGUGCAGCACGAGGUCCACACCAGAGGUUUGCUUUGUUUGUUUUCGAAGGAUUCUCCCGGGGGCACGGAUCUCUCCUGGCUUCCUGCGAACAGCCCGGAACCUUUGGCCACUUGAAUGCUGUCCUGGCGUUUCCUGUCCUUGAGAUCCAGCCUCCAAAGGAAGCAGACAUGAUGGCCAGUGGACACUAACAUGAUUGGCGGCUGUCACUGCCGCGGUUCGGUCAAAGGCCAGGAAACGGAAAAUAGUCUGUCUUUAUUUCAACCCCAAGGGCGUCACUUACAGGAAGUAGAAUGACCCUUCAGCUACUUGGAGCCUUCAGAUGUUUUUGGCGUCCUCCAGUCGCUGUGGUUCUCCACCAUACACAACAUCCUCGCCUUUCUCCCCGAGCAACUUCAGUCCUAACGAUUGGGCCCACAUUCUCUCCUUACAUUUCCUUAGCCGCUAGAACCUUCUUGCACCGGAGUCACAUCGGAUGACCAGGACCAAGUGGUUGGAACAGUUGAAAGCGAGCUGGGUAGAGGGGAGCCAACUGGAGACACAUGGACAAGAAAUCAUAAACGCGCUCUGCCCUCGUUUUCCCCUUCCUUCUCAGACCUUACGAUAGACAUAUGCUUUACCCUCUUUCACAAUUCACCGUCAGGAUGUUACUCAACAGAUCCUGUGUGUGUGUGUGUGUGUGUGUGUGUGUGUGUCUGCCCCUCCCCUGUUCACGGUCUGUCUCUCUCUGUCAAAAAUAAAUAAACAUUAAAACUAAAUAAAAAAUAAUUU